GACGAACGCUGGCGGCGUGCUUAACACAUGCAAGUCGAACGGAAAGGCCCUGCUUUUGUGGGGUGCUCGAGUGGCGAACGGGUGAGUAACACGUGAGUAACCUGCCCUUGACUUUGGGAUAACUUCAGGAAACUGGGGCUAAUACCGGAUAGGAGCUCCUGCUGCAUGGUGGGGGUUGGAAAUUUUCGGCGGUUGGGGAUGGACUCGCGGCUUAUCAGCUUGUUGGUGGGGUAGUGGCUUACCAAGGCUUUGACGGGUAGCCGGCCUGAGAGGGUGACCGGCCACAUUGGGACUGAGAUACGGCGCAGAAUCCUACGGGAGGCAGCAGUGGGGAAUAUUGCACAAUGGGCGGAAGCCUGAUGCAGCAACGCCGCGUGCGGGAUGACGGCUUUCGGGUUGUAAACCGCUUUCGCCUGAGACGAAGCGUGAGUGACGGUAAUGGGUAAAGAAGCACCGGCUAACUACGUG
RNAcentral lists this ribosomal RNA (468 nucleotides) under uncultured bacterium. RNAcentral's name for it is "partial 16S ribosomal RNA". It matches the Rfam family "Bacterial small subunit ribosomal RNA", at positions 28 to 507 of the family's 1533-position model. The record is from RNAcentral.